GAAAGAUAAGAUUGUUAUUGUGUAAUACUAUGUAGGCUAUACCAGGGGUUGAAAGAUAAGAUUGUUAUUGUGUAAUACUAUGUAGGCUAUACCAGGGGUUGAAAGAUAAGAUUGUUAUUGUGUAAUACUAUGUAAAUACUAUGUAGGCUAUACCAGGGGUUGAAAGAUAAGAUUGUUAUUGUGUAAUACUAUGUAAAUACUAUGUAGGCUAUACCAGGGGUUGAAAGAUAAGAUUGUUAUUGUGUAAUACUAUGUAGGCUAUACCAGGGGUUGAAAGAUAAGAUUGUUAUUGUGUAAUACUAUGUAGGCUAUACCAGGGGUUGAAAGAUAAGAUUGUUAUUGUGUAAUACUAUGAAGGCUAUACCAGGGGUUGAAAGAUAAGAUUGUUAUUGUGUAAUACUAUGUAGGCUAUACCAGGGGUUGAAAGAUAAGAUUGUUAUUGUGUAAUACUAUGUAGGCUAUACCAGGGGUUGAAAGAUAAGAUUGUUAUUGUGUAAUACUA
Oncorhynchus tshawytscha (Chinook salmon) is the source of this 502-nucleotide long non-coding RNA. The record is from Ensembl. Lineage: Eukaryota; Metazoa; Chordata; Actinopteri; Salmoniformes; Salmonidae.